GACUUAAAUAAUUUGAGCUGACCGUGAGGGUUCAAGUCCCUCUACCCCCAAAGCUAAAAAAAAUUUAUU
RNAcentral lists this transfer RNA (69 nucleotides) under Racomitrium heterostichum. Its description in RNAcentral is "partial tRNA-Leu". Lineage: Eukaryota; Viridiplantae; Streptophyta; Bryopsida; Grimmiales; Grimmiaceae. The record is from RNAcentral.